AUUAUUAUUAUUAGUAGUAGUAGUAGUAGUAGUAGUAGCGUUUCUUUCACAUUGGCUCUCCUCAAUGCUGCAU
Non-coding RNA from Pangasianodon gigas (Mekong giant catfish), 73 nucleotides. Lineage: Eukaryota; Metazoa; Chordata; Actinopteri; Siluriformes; Pangasiidae. The record is from the annotation of a GenBank genome assembly.